ACCUCUUUACUUGCCUUUGGUUCAACGAAGUUGACCGCUUUACUUCAAGGGACCAAAUCAGCUUUUCCACAGUAAGAGAUAAGAUUCGGGCAAAGACAAAUUGGACUGUGAACAUGUUCAUGGACUGUGAAAGGCGCAACUUUGUAGUUCAGAAGUACCAUAGAGAUGUUUUAGAGCACAUGGCUCCUCCUCCUCCUGCUGUAUAUCCACCACCACUGCCCCCUGUUUUGGUGCAUGAACCACCAAUUAAAACAGCACUGGAAACUUCUGCUGAAAGGGUUGCAAGUAUUCCGGUUCGGAGGGCAAGGCGAGGGAGGAAGUCUAACUCUAGGCACCAUCGCAAAGUUGUUGCUGGUGGCAGGGA
RNAcentral lists this unclassified non-coding RNA (364 nucleotides) under Hevea brasiliensis (rubber tree). The record is from RNAcentral. Lineage: Eukaryota; Viridiplantae; Streptophyta; Magnoliopsida; Malpighiales; Euphorbiaceae.